AUCUUGUCCAGCGUACCAAACAAAUGAUCUUGUAACUACUUUACCUUCGUCCUUAACAAUAAUCCAAGGUCUUAUAGCUGUCCUGCUGAGUCCGUACAAUGAUUGUGUUCCCCCAGAAUCUCGUUUUUAAGCGAGAGUAGGGCAGCUCAGUUCUCUCCCUUAUUGGUGCUAGGUCACCUGCCCAGAAAUGGUUCUCCUGUUUCAUUCAGUAUGAAGAUUGAUUUCGUGUAGUUUCACUAUUAGACAUGUUUUUUUAUAUGAUUUUUAUCAAUAAAAAUCCCCUGAAUUUCUGUUCGGAAUCUUCUGAAGAUCUGCCAUGGUUAAAAAAAUAUAUUAACGUCCUGUGUUGCAGCAUGCCUGUAUUAAGGAAGAAAAAGAAGUUGAGGGUUGUGUUCAUUUUAUUUCCUAGUUCGAUUAAAUACUCCGUAACUUAUGGUUCUUGUUCAAGUAGAAUAUUAAGCUUAAGUUCUAAUUGCAGCUUCACGGCAGUAUUUGAAGAUUAUCAUCACCGAGGUCGAAUGCAAGGUGUAUGCCAUGUUCAUGUGCAUUGGAUGAUUCGCGUGUAGAAAUCAGGCAUCCAUGAGCACUUGAAGUGAACUCAAUUUAUGCAGUGAUGUGAAUGAACACAAGAAGCAUCAUGAUUUUUGAUAUUCAAAAUCGUUCUUCAGAAAAGCUAUGAACAUCGAAAAUGAAAAGAUGCUGACAGUGAGUUCCAUAUCAGAUUUAAUCUGCCGGGUGAUAUUGACAAAAAAUUUCCCUUUUUAAGGACUUAAAACUUUCAAAUGAUAUGAUUCAAUUAGGUGGGUUAAUGUCUACCGCACUUGAAACUACAAGUGUUCAGUGUAAUAAAGAAAAGUAAAACUUCGAUCUGUGGUCGAAGGCUUAAGCAUGCUUGAGCACUCAAGAAAUAGAAUUUUCCUUUGUUUUAUUGGUUCUUGAGUCAUAAUAAACAUAUUCAAGGUGAGAAACAUAGUUCUCAUCAUCUUUUAAUUUGAUUGUUUAUUAAAUGAGAUGGGCUGGACAGACUCCGUCCAGGGCGCCGAAUGGAGGGGGCGCCAAAUUGCC
RNAcentral lists this long non-coding RNA (1065 nucleotides) under Olea europaea subsp. europaea. Lineage: Eukaryota; Viridiplantae; Streptophyta; Magnoliopsida; Lamiales; Oleaceae. The record is from RNAcentral.